CAGGACUUUUUUAGAGACAUUUUUGUGCCCAAAAGUUCGGGUCCCCAUUGACUUCAAUUGGGCUCGGGGUCAAGUUCGAGCCCAAACCCGCACUUUUUUUCAAAGUUCGGCCGAACCCACCAGACCCGAACAUCCAGGGGUCUGCUCAACUCUAGAAGUAAUUUUUUUUGUUUUUUUAACAUACAUUGUACUUUAGACAUGAAUGAAC
Molecule: non-coding RNA, 208 nt
Organism: Pelobates cultripes (western spadefoot toad)
Lineage: Eukaryota; Metazoa; Chordata; Amphibia; Anura; Pelobatidae
Source: the annotation of a GenBank genome assembly